This 703-nucleotide small RNA is filed under the name Pan troglodytes (chimpanzee). Its description in RNAcentral is "processed transcript". The record is from RNAcentral. Lineage: Eukaryota; Metazoa; Chordata; Mammalia; Primates; Hominidae.
AGGCAGAAAAGAUGGCAGAGGGAGGGUGAACCCAGGGCCCAUCUGUGGGUAUGGGCUCCAAUUUCCUAAAUUGUUUGUGGUUAUAACCAUGGCUUCCACCUUGUCUGGCACCGGGUCCACAUCUUUUAGGUCAGAGCCCUAGAGAAUAAGAGAAGCUUGCUGCUGGUGAGGGGGUAUGGCCAGGAUUCCUGGAGUCGGAAGAGCUUCUGCUUCACCAUCUUGGGAGAAGAAGGAAGAAAGUGAAAGCGAUGUGGUCCUUCUUAGUCCCAAGGACCCUGACAGAGGACACGCAGAGGAGCAGCUGGCUUGCCCGGAGUCCUCCGACCUUGACCCAAGCAUGCAGGGCCCACCCCACAGCCUCCCUGCUGGGCUCAGCCUGGACGACUUCAUCCCUGGCCACCUCCAGUCCCACAUAGGGUCUUCCUCCCGGGGGACACGGUUCCACGACCCCGCGCCCAGGACUGUGUGCAAUGGGGGCUACACACCAAGACGAGAUGCUUCCCAGCACCCGGACCCUGCAUGGUAUCAGACCUGGCCAGGCCCUGGGAGCAAGCCCUCUGCAAGCACAAAGAUCCCUGCCUCCCAGCACACCCAGAACUGGUCAGCCACGUGGACCAAGGACAGCAAGCGUCAGGACAAGCGCUGGGUCAAGUACGAGGGAAUCGGGCCCGUGGAUGAGAGCGGCAUGCCUAUUGCCCCCCGA